UCUUUUUUUUUUUUUUUUGUAUUUUACAAACAAAAGAAGGAUAGGCUGGAAAACUAAGAGGGAAGUCCUCAGGCCCCAAUGAAGGGUUCAAAUCCACUUUUCUCCAUAUGGUGCUACACCCUUCCAGCAAAUUUCCCUCUGAGCCCCUCACAAAAGCAAUGUAUUACUUUGACCUUCAUGAUAUUUCUGGAGGCCGUAAGUGAUAAAUGAGAAUUUUCAUCAGAUGUGUUAAUGACAGACAUACCAACAGGCAAUCACCCAAAGCAAAUGUUUCUUUCAAGUGUAGUUGAGGAUGUACUGGCACAUUGUGCUCUUGAGCGCAUACCGUGUUCCAGCAACAUCAGGGGUCAGCACCCUUCUUGGGCUGACAUUUGAGGCCUUGAGAGACAUCCAGGUUUAUAACACGCCAAAGAAACCCUUCAAGGUGAGGGAGGGUUGAUGUGCUGCAGCCCCAGCACUACAGCUAAGUUGAAAGAAGCAUGAAAGAUCACAUGGGCCCCUCUGCCUGCCCACCAACAGAGCUGUUUUUAGGGAACUGCACCAUUGCAGGUUCCUGGUGGUAGGUUAUAUCAUCACUAUGGGAUGGCCUCAAAAAUAGGAGGGGCAAACCCUCAUGAUUCGAGGGGCAGAGAUUCUGGAUGCAGCCCUUGAUGCCUUGAACAGCAGGAGUUUUUUAUUGCAAAAGAAGGGGUUAUUCCAUAGGCCAACAGGCAGGUAGCCCUUGGAAUGCUCUGGGCAUAUACAUUUUUAAAUUUUAUUUAUUUAUUUUUUUUUUAGCCCACUCUAAUUUUUUCCGCAGAUUCUCUUGUCCUGGACCCAGAAUCCAGCCAAUCCAUGCUUUAUAUGGUACUGUGGUUCUCCCAACUUUAGUGUAUUCUCCAAAAUUCAUUCAAUUAGGACUAAAAUAUUUGUAUGAAUUAUGCAUAUUACUAUUGUCUCCUAUAAGUUAACAUCUUGAAUUUUGGUGAGAAAUAACACAUCUAUAAAUUGCAUGAAAAUAUCAAAGACAGUAAUUUUUUUCUUAACUCUGAGAGUUACCUCAGAUUUUGGAGUAGAAAAAUGUUUUCUUCUUAAGCAUAAAGCAAACAAAAAAAUUAGGGGGAAAAUUGACAUAUUUAACCAUGCAAAAAUUAAAGAAUAUUGUGUUUGGACUUUAAAGCAGGUGGGCCAUUUUGAUCUGGUAAUUAGACUUAUAGAAAUUCAUCCUAAACAGAAUCAGAGGCACACAGCCUCUGAUUCUGUAACAUCAUAUCAGAGUGGGAAGAGUCCCUGUGUAGCCAGGGACUAUGUAGCCAGAGUCCCUCUGUAGCCAUUUAAAACUCUGUGCCUCAGUUUCCUCACUUAUUUAAAAAAAAAAAAAAAGUUUGCUUUCUGAGUUUACUCCCAGCUGUGACUCUGAUUCUAAUCCAGAACUUAAGCACUGGGGUAGACCUAGAACUGGACUGUCCUUUACUGUAGCCACUUGCCACAUGUGGCAUUGAACACUUGCAACGUGGCUGUUACAAACUGAGAGGUGUUAUCAAAGUAAAAUACAAACCAGAUUUGUAUUUUACAAUACAAAUUAUAAAAUUUGUAUUGUAAAACAUGCUGGGGCUGCAGCAUGUCAGACUUAGUAUGUGAAUGUAAAAUAGCAUGUUAAUUUUAUAAUGAUUACAUAUUCAAAUGUUAUUUUGGAUAUACUGAAUUAAGCAAAACAUUACAAUUUUACUUGUAUCUUUUUACUUUAAUGUGGCUACUAAAAAAUUUUAAAUCACACAUGUGGCUCUCAUUCUUUCUUUUGGACAGUGCUGCUCUAGAUCAUUUCAUCAAGUGGAUAUUAUUAAAGUAGACCAAAGUUCACACCAUCAGGAUGAUAUUUACCUCUAAAUACUGUUUGAAAGAUAUUUAUUGAUCUUUUUCAGACCACUAGUGUUAAUGUCUAUUUGCCUACUGUUAAACAGUCAACCUGAUUUAUUGAUCCUUGAUUAAGUACAAGUAACUGAGCCUCUAGUCAUGUGCCAGAUUUAAAAAUUUGAUCAGACAUUUUACUACAUGAUGGUAGCCUACAGUCAAAUAAAAUUUGAGUUAUAGGUUGACACCAUCUGGUUGUCACUGAAUUUGAAAAUCCUUUGGGAAAUAGGAAAAUACUGAGUGGAGAAUAUUAGUGAAUAAUGAAAUUGAAGGGAAGUGUGUAUCUACAGUGACAACAGAAAAGGCCAUAUUACUUUUGUCUCCUAUAAAUUAACUUCUGUUCUUGAGUCCCGUUCUGUGGAGGGAGUCUGGGGCACCAGUAUGUGGACUAUCCCAUGCCUAGUUACCAGACUGUGUUUGGUGGUUUCUGUUUCAGAUCCUGCUUUAGAGCUGUGCUUGCCAUUCAGGUAGGUCAUCGCUGAGCUCUGGAAUUAAGAGACUCAGAUUUGCCCAACACUGUUCAGGGCAGAGCAGGGUUGACAGCAUUGUCAAGAAGCCAUAAAGAAAAACAGCUAAGUGGCCACUAGGUGCCACCUUUCCUUUCUCACAGUGCUAUGUUUUGAUGACAUUAAUUUUCCCAAGCUCCCUGGGGCCUGUGAGAGACAUUAUUUAAGAUUUCUGUGCCUAGAAUGAGUCAGCUUCUCCGGUGUGGGUUGGUUGAUGAGAAAUGCUUUCCAAGGGAGGUCUGGGGGGCGCCUUCUCACAUAAUAUAAGAACUUUGGUGUAGGGAGCUUCCCAGAUGUGCUGCUAGUGAGAACUGACCUUAGCAAACCCGUCCAGUCUGGGGUAGGCUCUCUGAACCCGAUGCUCAUAUAUGUUCUCAAGUGUAGAUUUGCCUUUUAUACAGUUUUUAGCUCUCUCCAGUUCACUUGCUCUUGUCUGUAUAUUGAUAUUUUUAAAAUUUUGUGGUAAAUAAUAG
Molecule: long non-coding RNA, 2869 nt
Filed under: Marmota monax (woodchuck)
Lineage: Eukaryota; Metazoa; Chordata; Mammalia; Rodentia; Sciuridae
Source: RNAcentral